GUUAGCUGGUCUGAGAGGAUGRCCAGCCACACUGGAACUGAGACACGGUCCAGACUCCUACGGGAGGCAGCAGUGGGGAAUAUUGGACAAUGGGGGCAACCCUGAUCCAGCAAUGCCGCGUGUGUGAAGAAGGCCUGAGGGUUGUAAAGCACUUUCAGUGGGGAGGAGGGUUGAUAGGUUAAGAGCUAAUUAAYUGGACGUUACCCACAGAAGAAGCACCGGCUAACUCCGUGCCAGCAGCCGCGGUAAUACGGAGGGUGCGAGCGUUAAUCGGAAUUACUGGGCGUAAAGGGUGCGUAGGUGKUUWAUUAAGUUAUCUGUGAAAUCCCUGGGCU
RNAcentral lists this ribosomal RNA (335 nucleotides) under uncultured Legionella sp. RNAcentral's name for it is "bacterial SSU rRNA". It matches the Rfam family "Bacterial small subunit ribosomal RNA", at positions 282 to 609 of the family's 1533-position model. Lineage: Bacteria; Pseudomonadati; Pseudomonadota; Gammaproteobacteria; Legionellales; Legionellaceae. The record is from RNAcentral.